Molecule: ribosomal RNA, 700 nt
Filed under: uncultured bacterium
Lineage: Bacteria
Description: bacterial SSU rRNA
Rfam family: Bacterial small subunit ribosomal RNA
Source: RNAcentral
AGUGGCGCACGGGUGAGUAACACGUAGGCAAUCUUCCAUCAGGACGGGGACAACCCCGAGAAAUCGGGGCUAAUACCCGGUAAUGCAGCGGCACCGCAUGGUGACAGUUGUUAAAAGCCGAAAGGUGCCUGAUGAUGAGCCUGCGUCCCAUUAGGUAGUUGGCGGGGUAACGGCCCACCAAGCCGACGAUGGGUAGCUGGUCUGAGAGGAUGAUCAGCCACACUGGAACUGAGACACGGUCCAGACUCCUACGGGAGGCAGCAGUGAGGAAUAUUGCGCAAUGGCCGAAAGGCUGACGCAGCGACGCCGCGUGAGGGAUGAAGUCCGUUAGGAUGUAAACCUCUUUUGCAGGGGAUGAAACCGCCGCUACAGGCGGCGGAUGACCGUACCCUGCGAAUAAGGAUCGGCUAACUACGUGCCAGCAGCCGCGGUAAUACGUAGGAUCCGAGCGUUGUCCGGAAUUACUGGGUGUAAAGGGCGUGUAGGUGGGUCUUUAAGUCGGUGGUGAAAUCUUGCGGCUCAACCGCAAAACUGCCGUCGAUACUGGGGACCUUGAGUGCGGAAGAGGGAAAUGGAAUUCAUGGUGUAGCGGUGAAAUGUGUAGAUAUCAUGAAGAACACCAGUUGCGAAGGCGGUUUCCUGGUCCGCUACUGACACUGAGGCGCGAAAGCGUGGGGAGCAAACAGGAUUAGAUACCCUG